GUCUAUAAUUAUGAUUAAACAAAAUGAAGACAAAAAAUAUUAAAAUCUAUAAAGCUGUUAUCAGGAAAAUGCAAACAAUGACCAGAACACAAGAAAUAAGGAGACUCCUUGGAGAACUACUGAGAAUAUAUUGUUCAAAAUUUCCGGAUAUACUUACAAUCAUGGCAAUCAUGAGGGCCAUGACAAAGGCAAAGACAAAGAUCUUCAUAUUUGGCUGAUUCCUGUGAAAGCAUAUGUGAAAAUCAGUAGCAUAUUCACUCCUGCAUUUGCAAGUCAAACAUUUAUUGACUGACUAUUCUCCAAAGCCUUGGGAAACACACUGGAAACACAAAGACAGUGGAAGCACAUUGCCUGACAUGAGGGAACUUAGAGGUUGGCAGGGGACAUUGCUAAAUCAAUAUAGGUGCCACGAUUUGGAAAUAGGAACGUGCUAUAGAAACACCCAAAAGGGACAUCUUGAAGAGACCAAGAGGAUGAGGACAUUAAAAUAAAGCAAAAGCUAGGCUUUUUUUGUGCUAGGCUAUAUAGAAGAAAGGAGAGGUGUUGGGAGCCAGCUGAAGAACACAAAGGAAGGAGAGGGUAGCAUGCUAGAAGGGACAUCAUUCAGCAUGUAAGGAGGACAAUGAUGGGAUCAGGCCAAGCCCUUAGACUGUUGUGAGAUUAUGGUGGCCACAGAAUGGCAUGAGUGUAAAGAAAUGUUUAGAAGACAGAAUGACAAGCAACAGGGACUGGUUUCUUAACAGAGUGAGUGAAAAGGAACCAGGUUCCUGGCUGAGAAGGGUGUAGAUGGUGUGACCCUGGUAUUGGAAAAUGAAUGAUACUUGGCAGAGAAACAUCAAAUUGAAAAGAAUUUUCAGGGAUUAGGAUUCCUGGGUGGCUCAGUGGUUUAGUGCCUGACUUCAGCCCAGGGCGUGAUCCUGGAGUCCUGGGAUCAAGUCCCACAUUGGGCUCCCUGCAUGGAGCCUGCUUCUCCCUCUGCCUGUGUCUCUGCCUCUCUCUCCGUGUCUCUCAUGAAUAAAUAAAUAAAAUCUUAAAAAAAAAAAGAAUUUCCAGGGACAAUAUCUGUAGAUACUUUGACAAAUAGAAUUGUUGAAAAUAAUGUAUUCUCCAUAUUAACCACUUCAACUAAAUUAACAUGAUAUGGGAUUAAUUGACAUGUAUUUGUAAUUCUCUAUAUGUAAGCGAAUCCAAUUUUAUUGCUGUAGAAAAAGAAAUUCUUUCUUUCUUUCUUUCUUUCUUUCUUUCUUUCUUUCUUUCUUCUCUUUCUUAGAUUUUAGAUUUUAUUCAUGAGUGAUGCAGAGACCUAGGCAGAGGGGAAGCAGGCUCUCUGCGAGGAGCCCCAUACAGGACUCAAACCCAGAACCCCUGGAAUACUACCAGAUCCAAAGGCAGAUGCUCAACCAGUAGAACCACCCAGAAAUCCUGAUUAUUUAUUUCUUAAUUGAAGACAUAUAAAUAAAAAUUUUUCAAAAUAUAAGAUAAAUAAUAGGUCAAAUCUUUUUUUCUCAACCACCAGUUUUGAUAGAACAUUAGAGUAACGACUUAUGUCUAUAGGGAGAAGCAACUGUUCUUCUGCUAAUAACUCUAAAUCUUUAACAUACAAAGCAGACCUCGGGGCUAAUGACAUUUUCCUUGUUCUUUAUCUGCUAAUUUGCCCCAAUAGUUUGAACUCAGAUCUGUGGCAUUAGACAAUUAAUGAGAAUUAAAUAUUUCUUGGUGAAAUUUUUCUAUCAUCUACUUGCUAAGCAAAAUAUUCAGUCAUGUUAUGAUACAGAAUAGGAUGUUUCUAGCUGGCAUUUUGUUAAAAGUAGAAGAUUGGGAGAAAUUAACAGAAAGUGAUCAUAGAUAGAUAGAUAGAUAAAUGAUAGAUUAUUAAGGGCUUUGAAAUAAUAGUUCCCAAGGAACAGAAUGAUAAAAGUCUGAGAUACUACAAGUUUUUUUUUUCCCAGCCAAAUUAAAAUAAAAUUAAAAUGGGUUAAAUGAAAUGAAUUAUUAAAAUGAAAAAGUGCCUUUAUACAUUAUUAAUUAUGCAGAAACAAACUAUUUAGAAUGAUGAAAAGAGCAUGGAAAGAU
Molecule: long non-coding RNA, 2073 nt
Filed under: Canis lupus familiaris (dog)
Lineage: Eukaryota; Metazoa; Chordata; Mammalia; Carnivora; Canidae
Description: lncRNA (ENSCAFG00040004754.1)
Source: RNAcentral